RNAcentral lists this ribosomal RNA (412 nucleotides) under uncultured microorganism. Its description in RNAcentral is "bacterial SSU rRNA". It matches the Rfam family "Archaeal small subunit ribosomal RNA", at positions 330 to 745 of the family's 1478-position model. The record is from RNAcentral.
GCGCACCAGUCGAGAAACUUCGCAAUGCGCGAAAGCGCGACGAGGGGAUUCCAAGUGCAUGCACUAAGUGUAUGCUUUUCGUGAGUUUAAAACGCUCACGGAAUAAGGGCUGGGUAAGACUGGUGCCAGCCGCCGCGGUAAUACCAGCGGCCCUAGUGGUGAUCGUUAUUAUUGGGCCUAAAGCGUCCGUAGCCGGUCCGGUAAAUCUCUGGGUAAAUCGUUGGGCUUAACUCAGCGAAUUCUGGGGAGACUGCUGGACUUGGGACCGGGAGAGGUCGGAGGUACUCCAGGGGUAGGGGUGAAAUCCUGUAAUCCUUGGGGGACCACCGGUGGCGAAGGCGUCCGACCAGAACGGGUCCGACGGUAAGGGACGAAGCCCUGGGGCGCGAACCGGAUUAGAUACCCGCGUAGU